This 468-nucleotide ribosomal RNA is filed under the name uncultured bacterium. Its description in RNAcentral is "partial 16S ribosomal RNA". It matches the Rfam family "Bacterial small subunit ribosomal RNA", at positions 28 to 507 of the family's 1533-position model. The record is from RNAcentral.
GACGAACGCUGGCGGCGUGCUUAACACAUGCAAGUCGAACGGAAAGGCCCUGCUUUUGUGGGGUGCUCGAGUGGCGAACGGGUGAGUAACACGUGAGUAACCUGCCCUCGACUUCGGGAUAACUUCCGGAAAAUGGGGCUAAUAACGGAUAGGAGCUCCUGCUGCCAGGUGGGGGUUGGUAAGUUUCGGCAGGUGGGGAUGGUCUGGCGGUUUCUCAGUAUGUUGGUGGGGAAGUGACUUACCACGGCUUUGACGGGUAGCCGGCCUGCAGUGGUGACCGGGCACAUUGGGACAGAGAUACGGCCCGGACUCCUACGGGAGGCAGGGGUGGGGAAGAUUGCACGAUGGGCGGAAGCCUGAUGCAGCAUCGCCGCGUGCGGGAUAUAGGCCUUCGGUUUGUAAACCGCUUUCGCCUGAGACGAAGCGUGAGUGACGGUAAUGUGUAAAGAAGCACCGGCUAACUACGUG